RNAcentral lists this ribosomal RNA (389 nucleotides) under Escherichia coli. RNAcentral describes it as "bacterial SSU rRNA". It matches the Rfam family "Bacterial small subunit ribosomal RNA", at positions 194 to 577 of the family's 1533-position model. The record is from RNAcentral. Lineage: Bacteria; Pseudomonadati; Pseudomonadota; Gammaproteobacteria; Enterobacterales; Enterobacteriaceae.
GGGGGACCUUCGGGCCUCUUGCCAUCGGAUGUGCCCAGAUGGGAUUAGCUAGUAGGUGGGGUAACGGCUCACCUAGGCGACGAUCCCUAGCUGGUCUGAGAGGAUGACCAGCCACACUGGAACUGAGACACGGUCCAGACUCCUACGGGAGGCAGCAGUGGGGAAUAUUGCACAAUGGGCGCAAGCCUGAUGCAGCCAUGCCGCGUGUAUGAAGAAGGCCUUCGGGUUGUAAAGUACUUUCAGCGGGGAGGAAGGGAGUAAAGUUAAUACCUUUGCUCAUUGACGUUACCCGCAGAAGAAGCACCGGCUAACUCCGUGCCAGCAGCCGCGGUAAUACGGAGGGUGCAAGCGUUAAUCAGGAAGUUCUGGGCGUAAAGCGCACGCUGCGA